This 805-nucleotide ribosomal RNA is filed under the name Pseudoxanthomonas daejeonensis. Its description in RNAcentral is "bacterial SSU rRNA". The stretch from base 1 to 504 matches the Rfam family "Bacterial small subunit ribosomal RNA", at positions 41 to 535 of the family's 1533-position model. Lineage: Bacteria; Pseudomonadati; Pseudomonadota; Gammaproteobacteria; Lysobacterales; Lysobacteraceae. The record is from RNAcentral.
GAUGGGAGCUACCAUGCAGUCGACGGCAGCACAGGAGAGCUUGCUCUCUGGGUGGCGAGUGGCGGACGGGUGAGGAAUACAUCGGAAUCUACCUUUUCGUGGGGGAUAACGUAGGGAAACUUACGCUAAUACCGCAUACGUCCUAAGGGAGAAAGUGGGGGAUCGCAAGACCUCACGCGGAUAGAUGAGCCGAUGUCGGAUUCGCUAGUUGGCGGGGUAAAGGCCCACCAAGGCGACUAUCCGUACCUGGUCUGAGAGGAUGAUCAGCCACACUGGAACUGAGACACGGUCCAGACUCCUACGGGAGGCAGCAGUGGGGAAUAUUGGACAAUGGGCGCAAGCCUGAUCCAGCCAUACCCCGUGGGUGAACAAGGCCUUCAGGCUGCCAAGUCCUUUUGCUGGCACAGAAAUCCUAUUGAUCAAUACUCCAUAGGGCUGACGGUACCCAUAUAACAAGCACCGGUCUAACUUCGUGCCACCUGCCGCGGUCUUCAGAACCGGUGCUCCGCUCCCCUCCGUAAUUUCUGCGCCUUUAACCGCGCAUUAGGUGGAUUGUUUAAGUCCGUUUCUGAAAGACCCUGCGAUUCAUCCUGACCAAAAUGCCAGCGUCUGUAGUAGCGACACUUCCCUGGAGAUCUAACGGGUGGGCCUAAAUUCCCCCGCUCUAACCAAAGCUAUCGGGGUAAAAAAAUUCCUUUGGAAAAUUCGUGGGCCCAAAUGCUCGCCAAAAAGGAGCUCUCCCCCCGCGUUCAAAUUCAUCCCCGUAAUGGGGCGAGCCAAAACUGGUCUAAAAAACCCUUUUUUC